Molecule: long non-coding RNA, 10957 nt
Organism: Mustela lutreola (European mink)
Lineage: Eukaryota; Metazoa; Chordata; Mammalia; Carnivora; Mustelidae
Exons: 2
Source: RefSeq, a predicted model, not a curated record
AACACAUUAGCCAAAGCACGCAAGUGCAGGAAUGAAUUCACAAGGUGAAAAAGUCAUGUGUUGCUGGGAUGGGACACAGGUCAGGCUCUGUUCGGAUGGGGAGGAAGAGUCUGGGGCUCCCAGAACACUCAAAGCCUUUGGCCUCCAACCAGAACAAAGCCUCACCACUUCCCAAGGCCCUUCUCGGCCCUUCAGAGCCACACGCCCAGCAGGCCGGCAGGGCCUGCAGGAUUGACCGUGCCUGGAGCUGCCCUUGACCCAAGACCGUGCGAAGCUGGCAUGUAAAUAUCCUCAAACCGUCAGGUGGGAACUCUGAGGUGCCCCGUCUAUGCUGCCUUCCAUUGGUCCCCACAGGGAUCGGGCUCUGCCUCACCUGCUUGCUUACCCUCCCUGUGCAGCUGCCGUCCAUUUUCCGUCUCACUCCUCCUCUCCCUACCCCCUUGGGUUUUCCCAGGAUCACCUCUGGAAAAAACUUCCUGCAUUGGAGUCCUUGUUUCUGAGUUUGCCUUGGGGCGAACCAGACUGAGACAAGUACCUACUGUGUGCAAAGCCCCAUGCACAUAGAUGCUCUUGUUAGGGACCCAAGAGGGUCAGCUCCUUGAUGAGCUGCAGGUGGAAACGGACUACACCAGUUGACGUUGCCUCUCAAAAUUAUCUUUAUUUGCAGCAAGAAGGAGAUGGAGGGGAUUAAUUUCCAAAACUGUGCUCUGCUGAACAGCGGUAAACAGUCUCCUUUUACUAGGGCUUGGGAUGAAUAUUCAGAGGGGGAUUUUAAUAUGAUAGUGACGCUAACCAUUGGGCACUUUGUGAUUUCCCCUGCACAGGCAACGUCCUCAAAUGUUUCUUUCCCUGUUCCAGCAUUUCAUCAGUUUCCAAAAGAUGAAACGGAGAGUUCUGCAGAAGCCUCUAGGAGUGUCCAGAGUUCAGGGAGUCAAGGGGUCUUGCCAGUGACAAUCAUGUGUAUCCUUUGUCUUGAGCUCUGGUUCUCUGCUUGUCCAAGGUGGCGUGGAGACAGUCUGUGGCUGGAAGUCGUCAUUGUGGUGGCCACCCAACCCCCAACCCUCACCUGAAGGCCUGGUUACACGCCCAUCUGCUGGGUCUGGAUCUGGGAAGUUUUUCCUCUUCCCGAAACCACAAGCUCUAACAGCUGUAUGAAUCAUGGGCAGGUCCUCCUGAUACAUCGGGUGGUAGGUGGAGCCUGGUACACACUGGGACACCAUGACAGCAGGUUCCAGGCCUUUGCUGGGGGUGAGCAAUGGCCGGCCCAGCUCAAGGAAGCGUCUGAUGGGACCAUAGGUAUAGAGGGUGGGAGACUGAGGCAGGGUGGACAGCUGUGUGUGUGUGUGUGUGUGUGUGUGAGAGAGAGAGAGAGAGAGAGAGAGAGACAGCAGAUGGUGUCACUUUCAACAUGCCCACAUCAAUGCAGUGGGGCAGGCAUCACUGUCCUCAUUUUACAAAUAACUAUUUAAACUCAGGGAAGCGAGUCCAGGGGCCAGUGGCUCAGGGACCCAGCAAGGAAUGGACCCUGCAAAUCACCUUGAGGUGGGGACUAGAGGCCCAGGAGGAAGGGGCUGGCUUUCUGGGGGAGGGGUAGGCAUGGCAGGGCUGCCACUGGGUAAAAGACAGGACCCUGUAGGAAGCCACAGAACGGGAUCUGGACACAAGGCCAGAGAGUCAGAUCCCAUCCUGGCCACUGUAGGCAGCACAGGUGGACAAGUGGGUGAUCUGAUUGCAACAGAAGAUACUGGGCCAGGUAAGUCGGGGGAAAGAGCCCUACACUGGCCUCAGUUUCUCCUUUUGUCACAGGAAAGGCAGCACCCAAGGCCCCUGAGGUCCCUCCAAGUUCUACAGUUCUGGGUCUCUUCCAACCUCUGAGGGUCUUGGUGGCCAGAGGCUACAUGGCACUCUUCAGUAGAAAUAUAACAAAAACCACAAAUGUGAGUCACACGUGUUAUUUCAAAUUUUCUAGUAGCCACAUUCAAAAAUUUUAAAAAGUGACAUAAAUUUUAAUAAUAGAUUUUAUUUAACCAGAUACAGCCGAACUACUAUCAUUUCAAUAUGUAAUCAAUAUAGAAAUUGUUACUGAGGGUUUUUUUUUUAUAAAUUUUUUUUGGGGGGGCAACAAGUCUUUGGAAUCCCACAUGUGUUUCAUACCUGCAGCUGCAGCGGGUUUCAGUUUGGACAAGCCACAUCCACCGAGCGUUAGCUCACAUAUUGGAUGGCAUAGGCAAGGGCUAGUCAGGGGAGUCUGGCUUAAGCAGAUCACCACCUCAGCUACAGCCUGGAGGGGUCAGAUGGAGCGGGCAUGAGUUUUCCUCUCUAGCCUAUGAGGGUCCUUAGGGUCUUUCCCUCGUGGUUGCUCAGGGCAAGCGUGGGCUCCAGGGAGACUGACACGCAUCCAUGAACACAGAGGGAGCGGUGAGGCCGUGGAGGGCCCGAUUCCUGCCCUCAGAGUGUUCUGCACUGGAAAGAGGUGCAUUCCUCCCAGGUCAGGAAUAAACCAGACAGUUGGGGUCAAGAAUUGUGUUCAGAUCUGGGCUGAGCAAAUCAUGUCCUGAGUUCAGGCUUCAGUUUCUUUACCUGGGGAAUAGGUAUAGUAACAGUAUCAUGUCGGGACUAAUUUAAUGCUUAGCCCAGAGAUCAAUACUCCCUUGUGUCCUUGAAGACAAAGGUUAACAGCUCACUUGGGGUUAGGGGCCUAGAGAAAGACCUUUGAGCCCUCUUGUGGUGACUGAGCAAACUGAGACCCAGAAAGAGAGAGGAAGUGAGCCAAUCCAGGCCAUACUGGGGCUGCUGACUCCUUGUCCAGUGCUCUUUCCUCUGCCAGAUUCACUUUUGAAGUUUGGCUUUGACCCACAGUCAGCAACUCUUGGGGCCUGCCUGCGGAAGAUCCCUCCCAGACUAGAUCAAGCUACCCCUCACUUAGGCCAGGACAAUGGGCUCUGGGCCAGAAGCGUGAUUUGCCUCCCAAAUCUGACACUUGCUGGCUGUGUGACGCAAGGCAAAUUGCUCAGCUUCUCUGAGCCUCAGGUUCCAUGUAGCUUACCCUCCCACCAGAAUUGGCUCUGAGGAUGGAAAUCAAGUGUCUGAAGGGGGCUCCUCCCUGCCCCCACAGGCCUGCGGGAAGAGUCUGGCACAGAACUCCAAACUGCAUUUAAUCCACAAUUAGUCCUUUCUGAAGCUUUGGGCAACUGGCUCGUUAUUAUCCCAUUUCCCAGAGGGAGAAAGCUACUGCCUGACAUGCCCCAGGCCCUGGCUCCUCUAGCACUCAUGGGUCUUCUCCUAAGGGCCGGUGAGAUCUGCAGGCCUGAGGGAGGCCGGCUAAUCCCAUGAUGGGGGUCAGGCACUACAGAGGCCCUCUGACCUGGGUGUAUCCCUGCUGUUUGUUCUGGGUCAAUAUCCAGGCUAUGCUCUCUGUCCAGCCCAGCCCUGAUGAUGACUGCCUUCUACUUCAGCUUAAAGCGGGAAUAAAGGGUGGAGUGGGAUGAAGGUCAUGGGCAUAAAGACGGGUGUAUUACUUAUCUAUUGCUAUCUCUAUAUCAAUGAUAACGAAUUACUCCAAAACAUAGCCAUUUAAAAUGGCCAUAAUCAUUUCUUUUUUUAUUUUAAGAAUGUAUUUAUUUAUUUGGCAGAGAGAGAGUGGCAGGCAGAAGGAAAAGCAAGCCCCUCCUCUUCGCAGCCCCCAAGCAAGGAGGCUGAUGCGGGACUCGUCCCACAACCCUGGAAUCAUGACCUGAGCUGAAGGCAGACGCUUAAGUGACUGAGCCUCCCAGGUGCCCAAACGUUUCUUGUCUCCUGGUUUCUAUGGUCAGGAGUUAUGGGGUGUUAUAGCUAGCUUGUUUUGGUUCAGGAUCUCCCACGAGGUUAUGGCUGAGAUGUCAGGACUGCAGUCAUCUGAAAGCUUGAGUGGGGCAGGAGGGUUGGCUUCCAAGCUGCCUUAUGUAUCUGGCCAGUCGGUGCUGGCUAUUGGUACUCCUAACAACAGUUCCUCCUCCACGGGGCACUCUCCAGACAAUAUGGCAGUUGGCUUUCCCAGAGCAAGUGAGCCAAGAGAGCAAGGAAGAUGUGGCAACAUCUUUAUGAUCAAGCCUUGUAAGUCGCACCCCAUCAUUUCUGCAAUAUCCUCUUGGUUACAAAGACCAGCCCUGCUUAGUUUCAGAGGGGACUAAUCAAGGGGGUGAAAACCAGGAGGUAUGGCUCAUUGGGGGCCAUUUUGGGUGGCUACCGCCAGGAGUCAUAAUAAUUACUACUAUCUUCUGAACACUUAUUCUGUGAUGGGCACUGAGUAAGAUAAUCUGUUUUUCAUUGCCUUUUUUUUUUUUUUUUUUACCCAACAACCCAGUGAUGUAGGUACUACUAUCAACCCUGUUUUGCAUUGGAGGAAACUAGCUCAGAGAGGUUAAACCACUUGACUAAAGUCACUCAGCUAGCAAGCAGCCAUGCCAGGUGAGUCUGACCUUAGAGGCCAACUGCUUACCAUCUUCCCAGAGGAAGAGCUUGGAGAGAAAGGAUAGAGAAGAGGUUUGCUCUUGAGAUAAAUGUUGGAAAUCCCAGGAACCUGAAUGCACAGAGAGGAAACCCCUUUUCCAUGGUCCCGAGAAUGUGGCCAGAGUUCCCACGUGCAGACUCCUUCUUAGUGGGGUAAGCCUGGCAUCAAUUUUGGCUGCUGGGAGGAAACCAAUAUGAAACGAUGUCGAUGGGUGCCUGGGUGCUUUAGUUGGUUAAGCAUGCUUGGCUCAGGUUGUGAUCCCCAGGUCCUAGGAUCAAGUUCUGCGUUGGGCUCCCUGCUCCCCCACACCUGCAUGCGCUCUCUCUCUCUCUCUCUCUCUAACAAAUUAGAUCUUAAAUACAUAAAUAAAUAAAACCAUGUGGAUGAUUACGCAUACCCCUACUUAUGCAGAGUACACAGAGUUCACAUGCCUGAAUGGAGAGAGGGAGCACACAGGAUACCUAAUACGCGAUAACAGCUUUUGUAAAUCUGUAAGGGCAACUUGACUCUGAACGAGGUGUAUAGCUUAUACAAGUUAUGUAUACCUUAUACAAGGCUUUCCCAGCUCAAAGCCUUUGUUCAGCCUUUGUUCCCUCCACCUACAAUGCCCCUCAAACCACCAUCAAAGCAGCAAAAAAUCCUCCGUGGAAUCCUGAAGACCGAGUCUGCAGAUGCCUGGGUGGCUCAGUUGGUUGAGCGGCUGCCUUCGGCUCAGGUCAUGAUCCCGGGGUCCUGACAUCAAGCCCCACGUCUGGCUCUCUGCUUAGCAGGGUGCCUGCUUCUCUCUCUGCCUGCCACUCCCUCUGCUUGAGUUCUGUCCCUCUCUGACAAAUAAAUAAAUAGAAUCUUAAAAAAAAAAAAAAAAAAAAAGACCAGUCUAAUCCCAUCUGUGCCUCUUACUAGCUGGGUGGAAUCUGGGGCAGGCGACACCCUUCUGUUGGGCCUCGGUUUCCUUGUCUGUUCUUGGGAAACUUGGCCCUUCUGCCCACCCUGCAGGGUGGUCAUGAGACCCAUGUGAAGGCAAUGCAGAGACCAGUGCUGGAGCCUUGGGAACCAGUGAAGCCACUCGGUUCUCAUCAGCCGGGGGCACUUAGCAGAAGUGCUGCAGAUCCGGGUGGGAAGUGGAGUGUGAGCCCAGAGGGACAAGGCUGGCUGCAAGAGGGAGAGCCGGGGAGUGGCCCAGGCAGCUGGGCUUGGCCUUGGAGCAGAGCACUGUCCUUGCCAGCCUACUGGGACUGCUAAGGAGGACCUGAUUUUCAUUUGUUUAUAACACCUACUGGGUGUUUUUCUGAUCAUGAUAUCGGCGCACUCUCAUCCUGGAAAAUCUGGAAAGUGUAGACAAAAGCACCAUGAGAGUUAUAGAAAUAACCUGUAAUCCUACCAAUACUGUGAGGUUACUCUACAUAUAUAUAUAUGUAAAGUAACCUCACGGUAUAAUAUAUAUAUAUCUCAAUCACAAUUGAGUUCAUCUAUAAUAUACUAUUUUGUUCACUGUUAAAUUCAGGAAUGUUUCUCCAAGUCAUUAAGAGAUGUGUUCUGGGUGCCUGGGUGGCUUAGUUGGUUAGCCAACUGCUUUGGCUCAGAUCAUGAUCCCGAAGUCCUUGGUAUCGAGUCCCGCAUUGGGCUCCUUUGCUCCAUGGGGAGUAUUCUUCUCCCUCUGACCCUCCCCCACUCAUGAUCUCUCUCUCUCUCUAAAAUAAAAUAAAAUAAAAUAAGAGAUGUCUUCUUCUUCCUCUUAAAAAAAAGAAAAAGAGAGAGACGUCUUCUCUAGGGUAGUUGUAAGGAUACAGGAUGUUCUAGGGGAGUAGUUCUAUGCUAUUGACUUAAAUAUCCCCUUCCUGGCAUUCCCGCUUUCUCAGUUGGACAGAGCUAGUUCUACCGGCUCCAAGAACCUCUCAAAAUAGAAAUCUGAGGACUGGGUGCCUGGGUGGCUCAGUCGUGAAGCAUCUGCCUUCAGUUCUGGUCAUGAUCCCAGGGUCCUGAGAUCAAGCCACACAUCAGGCUCCCUGCUCAAUGGGAAGCCUGCUUCUCCCUCUGCCUGUUGCUCCCCCUGCUUGCUCUCCGCCAUCCCCCACCUAUGUCAAAUAAAUAAAUAAAAUCUUAAAAAUAAAUAAAUCUGAAAACUAAAGGAUGUCUGGCCAUGGUGAAGAGCUCCAUUGUUAUGCUAUUUUUUAAAAGAUUUUUAAAAAUUUAUUUGACAGGCAGAGAUCACAAGUAGUCAGAGAGGCAGGCGGGGGUGGGGGGGUGGGGGGGGGAGCGGGCUCCCUGCUGAACAGAGAGCCCGAUGGAGGGCUCGAUCUGAGGACCCUGGGAUCAUGACCUGAGCUGGAGGCAGAGGCUUAACCCACUGAACUCAGGCAUCCCUGUUAUGCUAUUUUUUAAAGGUUUAAUUAUACAAGGACUCUCUGAACAUACUCUCAGUAUAAAAAAAUCUAAACCUUACUGAUUACAUUGAAGCCUCCUGAGGCCCUCCCAAAUAACCCUUGUCACCAGUUUCUGUAUAAUUUGCAGGCAUUUUUCAAUGCAUUUCCGUGUAUCCACAAGAAAUAGAUAUAUAAAUAUAUAAAAUUUUUUAUAUAAUAUGUAUAAAAUAUAAUCUAUAUAAUAGAAAUAGCUAGAGUGCAUGAUUGAAUAUAGUGUAAGAAUUAUUCUGCAACUUACUCUUUUCAUUAGACAAUAUGCAUAAUUUGCAGAUUUGCCUAUCUGAGGAUGUUUUAAUAAACCUUGUCCUUUUUAUUUUUUUAUUUUUUUAAAAAAUUUUAUUUAUUUAUUUGAUAGAGAGAGACACAGCAAGAGAAGGAACACAAGCAGGAGAAGUGUCAGAAGGAGACGAAAGCUUUCCCCUGAGCAGGGAGCCUGAUGUGGGUCUCGAUCCCAGGACCCUGGGACCAUGACCCGAGUUGAAGGCAGACGCUUAAUGCCUGAGCCACCCAGGCACCCCAACCUUGUCAUUGUUAAUUGCUGCAUAGUAUUUUACAAGGUGGAGGGGCCAGCAUUUACUUAACCAACCCACUAGGAAUGGAUAUUUAGGUUGGUUCCAAUUUUUCAUUAUUAUAAACCUUUCAGUGUGGAAAACCUACACACUCCCUUUACACAAAUGUGUGAAUGUUUUUCUCAGGUGGAUCUUAAGAGGUGGGGUCACUGGGUCAUGGGCAGUCUUAACUGAGAGGGAAGGAAACUUCACUCUGACAGAGGAGGGAAUGACUCAAAGUCACACAGCAGGUUUGUGACAGUGUGGAGACAUGACAUUUUGGGUUCUCUUCCUUACAUGUUUUAAGUCAUUCGUGGUCUGAACCGGCCCUCAAGGUCUACACAAUUGUUCAUAAGAACACCUAAAUGUUAUUUGCCUUUUUUGCUCCCAUCCUUUCAUGAGUGUUCAUUAGAGUUUUCCAGAGGCUACAUGAUGUGUGAUGACGUCAUUGCUCUGAAUCUAAGGGAAUGCAUUGGGCUGCUUUUAUCACUGGUGAGGCCAGAAUUUUUCUUCAUGCUAAUUGGCUAUUUUAUUUAUUUAUUUAUUUAUUUAUUGCUUUCUGGUAUCUCUUACCCAUUUUCUAGAAAAGUAUUUUUCUUAUUAAUUUAUAAGUGCUUUUUACAUAUUAAGCACAUUGACCUUUUCUCUCAUAUUGUGGCAUUUUCUCCAGUUUGUAGUUUGCUGCUAUCUUUGACUUUUAACUUUGUGUUAUGUUAUUUCAUUUGGGAGGUUUUUCCUUUGAUUUCUCCAUUGCUUUUAUGCUUAAGUAGUUCAUACCUAUCAUAGAAUAUGUUAGGUGUUUACCUCUGCUUUCUUCUACUUUGUUCCUGCAAUGACCCUAAUCCUUUGUCUGUGGCUUUCUCAGAGAAAGCCAACCAUUGGCUUUCUCAGAGUAGCUUGGGCAGGAAAUGACACAGGCUUGCCCCCCAGUUCUUGGGGUGCUGGAGCUGUAGGAGCAGGUUGACUGGAAGCUCAGUCUCUAAGGAAAAGGAAGCCCAGGUCAGAGACAGCCUCUCCUCAACUUUAGGUUCCAGGAGGUACUAGUCUGAGUCCCAACUAAGAUGGCCAGUGGGCCAACACCUGGACAGAUGGGGGCAGGGUCUGGAAGGGCAGACCUGGGGACAGGAACAGGUACACAUGCUGAGUACCCAGCCUAGACCUCGAGCCUCUAGGCUUCUUCCCCCAGGGGCGCCAGAAGCAUGCCAGGGAAAAGGAACAGUAUGCCACAGGACAGUCUGGGAUUUGGUCUCUCUGUUCUUUGUUGAACCUCCCUGGCUGCCACAAGUGCCCCCUCCUCCUCUCACAGGCAACUUGAAUGGGAGCUGACAAGUUCAUCCAUCUUGACCAGCUGUCCAUGGAGUUUGGGCGCAGCAUGACCGACUUGAUGGCAACCCCAAGCACCUGACCCUGACCAGGAUGGCCAGAGGAUGAGGAGGGAGGGGGGAUGGCCAUGGUGUAGUGCUUGUUCACCAACCCUCACCCACAGAUCAAAUACGGGGGCGAUGUGCCCAAGAGCUACCACCCGCGUAACCAGGUGAGGACACAUUAUGAGCACACGGUGACUGUGGCCAGAGGCUCCUUUGUGCAGGUGGAGAACAAAAUCCUGUUCCUGGGCUGUGUGCUCAGGUAGGGAUGGUGGCCAUGCCAUCCCUGGGCACAGCUGAGAGGGGCCUGGAGCUCAGGCAGGUGGUCAUUUGUGGGGCCCUGUCGCCUGCAGAUGGCAGUUCGCAUCGGAAGGGACAGACAUCGGCCUUGGGAUUUUCCUGAAUACCAGGAUGUGUGAACAGAAGCAGGAAGGGGACAUGGUGGAGGUGUUGCCCAUCCAACGCUGCAAAGCCCAUGUGGUCCCUGAGGACGGGAGCCUCACCUGCCUCAAGGCCAGCAUCUGGAAAUAUCGGCAGGAAACAGCUGCACUUGGACCUGGGGGCUGGGGGCUGGAGUCCUGAUGUGCAUCCACGUUUUACCAUGUGGGGGCUCUUGGCACCAGCAGACAGGAUGUGUAACUGGCUUCGGGCUCUCAGGCAGGACAAUGGCUCCCUGGUCCUGGCACAAGAACUUACACCAUGGAGGGUGAGGUCCUGGGUGGGGCAUCCCGUCUGAAAAUCUGUCCCUUGAUGGAGAUGUCCUGAGGUUUGACAACAUCUACAGCCUAGUUCAUUCCAAACAUAUCAGCUCCACUGUAGAUGUUCUACGCAUGGACCAAAUCUUUGUGGAGAAGACGAAGAGAUUCUAGGCAAGCCUUGUGGCUCCCAUAGCCUCCCCUUUGAUCUCUAGGACCACAAUGAAUUCAUAGCCUUCCCUGGCCAGACUCCCUCCAACCUCCCUAGGAAUGGGAAUCCUACGACAGCUGCUCCCAGCCCAGUUGUCACAGUGGGUCUGCAUCUUAGGAACUACUAGGACUGUGUCCCAGGGGUGGCCAGACAGCCACAGCAAAGCAAACAAAACAUGAAAGACUGAAGGCAGUCAUCCCUGGGAUCCCAUUUUUUAAGGGCUCACCAAGCACCCCUUCUCAACAAUCUAUUCCAGAAUCUUGAUAGCAAGUUUUUUCAACCGAUUCCCAAAUUCAGUGCCUGGUUCCUAUCAUCCUCUAUGGUUCUACCAUGGUAUCUUGCCCAGAUGGCACCAAGGUGCUGGGGCCAACUGGUAGGGGGAGUUUAGUUGGAGAAGUGCCACAUGGGAGGAGAGGGCAUUGGAGAGCCAUGUCAAGGAUGGAGGGAUUUCCCUGGCUUGGGUUGCCUUGACCCCAUGAUCUGCCAUAUCCCACCCACCGUUCCAUCUGUUUCUAGCAACUGCCCUUGCUACAGUCUUCUGGAGACAUGGGCUGAAGACCAGAGCUGUUGGCCAGAUAACGGACAUGUUCACAGCUGUCCCCAUCUGCCUCCUCUCCUACAAAGCCUUCACUCUGAGCCCACAGUCCCCUGCCCCAAAUCUUUGUCUUUGCUCACGCUGUUCCCUCACAUAGAAGGCAUGCUUUUCUUCCCUCUGUACAAAGUUUCUCUCCAGCAAGCAGUGCUGAGUCACAGUGAGGGCAAGUACUUGGUGUGUCAUUUACACCCAUGAGAUUCUCUCUUUCUACUGAAUAAUCCCGAGAGCUUCAACAAACCUUUACAGUUCUAGGACCACUGCCACAAUCAGGACGCACAACAACUCCAUCUCCCCCCCCAAAUUCCCUCCUGCGGGCCCUUUGUCAUCCAUCCUUCCCCUACCCCAGCCCUGACAACCACUGAUCUGUUUUCUAAUGCUGCAGUUGACUUUUCCGAAAAUGCCAAAUUAUACGGUAUGUGAUCUUUCGGAUCUGGCUUUCUUCUUUUGGCAUGACGCCUCUGAGAACCAUCUGUGUUGUUGCCUGUGUUAGUGGUUGGCUCCUUCUUGUGGCUGAGUGGUGUUCCAUUGCGUGGAAGCACUGUGUUGUGUUUAUCCAUUUCCCCGGUGGAAGGUUAGCUGGGUUGUUUCCAGUUUGAGGCAAUUACUAAUAAAGCCGCUAUAUGAAUACAUGA